This is an RNA transcript of Sarcophilus harrisii (Tasmanian devil), 2623 nucleotides long. It is a transcript of the gene named SCY1-like protein 2 pseudogene, with no coding region annotated. The record is from RefSeq and is a predicted model, not a curated record. The transcript has a single exon. NCBI's taxonomy places the organism in Eukaryota, Metazoa, Chordata, Mammalia, Dasyuromorphia, Dasyuridae.
UUCCAUUAUCACUAUAAACUCAAUAUGUUUCAAAUGAAUUGCCGAGGAAUGCACCAAAGAAGAAUAUGUCAAGUUAAUUCUGCCAGAACUGGGACCUGUCUUUAAGCAGCAGGAGCCUAUCCAGAUUUUGUUAAUUUUCCUGCAAAAAAUGGAUUUAUUGCUAACCAAAACACCUCCGGAUGAAAUAAAAAACAGUGUUCUUCCGAUGGUAUAUAGAGCCUUAGAAGCCCCUUCCAUUCAAAUCCAGGAACUUUGCCUGAACAUCAUUCCAACUUUUGCAAACCUUAUAGACUAUCCAUCCAUGAAAAAUUCUUUGAUACCAAGAAUUAAAAAUGCAUGUUUACAAACAUCUUCCCUUGCUGUUCGUGUAAAUUCAUUAGUGUGCUUAGGAAAGAUUUUGGAAUACAUGGAUAAAUGGUUUGUACUUGAUGACAUUCUGCCCUUUCUACAACAAAUUCCAUCCAAGGAACCUGCAGUCCUCAUGGGAAUUUUAGGUAUUUACAAAUGUACUUUUACUCAUAAGAAGUUGGGAAUCACCAAGGAGCAGCUUGCUGGGAAAGUGUUGCCUCAUUUGAUUCCUCUGAGUAUUGAAAAUAAUCUUAAUUUCAAUCAGUUCAGUUCUUUUAUUUCGGUCAUCAAAGAAAUGCUUCAUAGAUUGGAAGUGGAACAUAAAACCAAACUGGAGCAACUGCACAUAAUGCAAGAACAGCAAAAAUCUUUGGAUAUCACUAAUCAAAUGAAUGCUUCUGAAGAGACAAAAAUUCCUACUGCUGGUAGUCAGAUUGACAAGGUCUUUAAUAAUAUUGGAACAGACCUUCUAACUGGUAGUGGAUCAGACAAUAAAGAGAAUGGGAUACAAAAUAUGCAGAAAAGAGCAUCACUGACACUUGAAGAGAAGCAAAAGUUAGCAAAGGAACAGGAACAGGCCCAGAAGUUGAAAAGUCAGCAGCCACUGAAGCCCCAAGUCCAUACUCCUGUGGCGCCCAUCAAACAGACUAAGGAUUUGACAGAAACUUUGAUGGAUAACAUGUCUUCUUUGACCAGCCUUUCUGUUAACACUCCCCAAAUUUCGCCUUCUACUAUCUUUUCUUCAGUCCCGAACAUGGGGAUGGGCUUGGCUUUUUCCACACCGGUUGAUAAUACAAAGAGAAGUUUGACAAAUGGCUCAACUGCCAAUAUGGGCUUUCAGACACCAGCGUUCAACCUGCCAACCAGUGCAAACCAGCAUCUCUUCAGCAGCCCGGGCACACCGGCAGCAGCCCAGAUGACUCUGGGUACGCCUUCUAGUUUACCGAACCUGCACAUUCGAAGGGCUUCAGCUGGAAUGUCACAGCAGACCCCUCACAGACCCACUGAUAUGUCUGCUCUGGACAGUCUGUUUGGUCCUCAGAAACCCAAAGUUAGCAUGAACCAGUUAUCUCAACAGAAACCAAACCAGUGGCUUAAUCAGUUUGUACCUCCUCAAGGGUCCCCAGGGACGGGCAGUUCAGUAAUGGGAACACAACUGAACAUGGUAGGACAGCCUGCCUUUGGUUUGCAGGGCAAUCCUUUCUUUAAUCCACAGAACUUUGCACAACCAGCCAAUAUGACUAGUAGCAGCUCAGCUAGCAAUGAUUUAAAAGAUCUUUUUGGCUAAGGCAUCUGGUGUUCAUUUUGAAGAAUUGAUUGCAUUUUAAUCAUGGGUAAGCUGAUUUCCAUCUUGAUAUGUUUGAUUGAAUAUCUGGCUUGGAGGAACUUUUCCCACCGGAAGGAGUCUGAGAGAUUUGGUGGAGGAAAAAAAGGGCGUCCACAUCAGCAUUGUAGUGAUGUAGAAUCCUGUCGUUUGUACGCAUUGAAUGCAGUUUGAUUUGUUCCCUCCUGCCUUCUCCCACAUCCUCUCCUCCUCUCAGUGAUCUGAAGACAUGGCCCUAAACUAGGCUCAUUCAGGGCUGAACACAUUGCUGUCAGUGGCUCAUCAUCAUAACUUGGUAUGACCAAUCAGUGACAGAAAGGUGUCCAUGGCAUUUGCAGAUUUUCUCUGCUCAGUGCUGCCAGAGUUCCCAUGUCACAGCUAUUAAAUCUUAAUUUUAAUUUGUUCUUUCCCUAGUUGCUUGAUUUGAUUUCUGAAUUGGUGUGUUUCUCUAAGUAAAGCAAACUGUAAGUGUAUAGAAAGGAUCAGGUCAUUUGCUUUUCUCAAUCUUUAUGUAUUUGUUGUUUUCGAGACAGUUCUCAGCAAAGAUUGCAAAAUUUCUCAUCUUGCUUCUCAUUGGUUCAAACUGUAAAAGCCUCAUCAUACACCAUUUUCAGUGCAAGACAAUUCAUUGUAAAACCUGGCUGAGCAUGGCCAGCCUCACUGCACAGUUUGUUCCUUCAUUCCCUGGGGAGUGUUUGACAUCCUGAUUCUUUCUUCCUGUGCCCAUCAGAGCAGAGGAGCCCAGGAGAAAGGGCACGGUCACUUGGCACACCUCACUUUUAUGGGCCUUGCCCUGUGUCUUCUUGCCUUCUUAUUAUGUUUGAACUGAAACUUGUGAGGUUGCAUUUUCCAAGGCAGAUUUGUAAGAAUCCAAGUGUAUUUGGUGAAUAAACUUUUAAAAUUUAUGCUGUAUUGCUCCAAAUGUAAUAAACUUUACUUCUCCAAAAAUGA